This 331-nucleotide unclassified non-coding RNA is filed under the name soil metagenome. Its description in RNAcentral is "partial contains 5.8S ribosomal RNA, internal transcribed spacer 2, and large subunit ribosomal RNA". The stretch from base 1 to 120 matches the Rfam family "5.8S ribosomal RNA", at positions 35 to 154 of the family's 154-position model. The record is from RNAcentral.
GAUGAAGAACGUAGCGAAAUGCGAUAAGUAAUGUGAAUUGCAGAAUUCAGUGAAUCAUCGAAUCUUUGAACGCACAUUGCGCCCCCUCGUAUUCCGGGGGGCAUGCCUGUUCGAGCGUCAUUUCACCACUCAAGCCUCGCUUGGUAUUGGGCAACGCGGUCCGCCGCGUGCCUCAAAUCGACCGGCUGGGUCUUCUGUCCCCUAAGCGUUGUGGAAACUAUUCGCUAAAGGGUGUUCGGGAGGCUACGCCGUAAAACAACCCCAUUUCUAAGGUUGACCUCGGAUCAGGUAGGGAUACCCGCUGAACUUAAGCAUAUCAAUAAGCGGAGGA